Cottoperca gobio is the source of this 2118-nucleotide long non-coding RNA. RefSeq lists it as uncharacterized. The record is from RefSeq and is a predicted model, not a curated record. Lineage: Eukaryota; Metazoa; Chordata; Actinopteri; Perciformes; Bovichtidae. The transcript is spliced from 4 exons.
AGAUGAUUUAGUUUACAGUAAGUGUGUUAACGUCUGUGAUUGCGUGCUGAGUCUGUGUCUGUGUGUUGAGGUGGAGGAGUGGGCUGAGGCUGUGUUUGACUUCCCCGGUCAGACUGCAGAGGAUCUUUCCUUCCACAAGGGGGCGCUCAUCCGAGUGACGCAGCACAUCGACUCCGAGUGGAGGAGAGGGAGGCUGGAGGGGAGGGAGGGGAUCUACCCCGCGGCCUUCACACAGCCCGGCCUCGCUCAGCCAAUCACAGGCCAGCAGUCAGUGGUUUAAAGGAGUGGCCAAGUUUGACUUCACAGCAGAGAGCGAGGAUGAGCUCGCGUUAAAGGUCGGUGACAUUAUAACGCAGGUGGAGUUUGUGGAUGAGCAGUGGAUUCUGGGAGAUGUAGGCGGGAAGCGCGGGAUUGUUCCAAAAAACUACAUUUCACUUCUCUGAUGAGGAAAAACGAGGAGAUAUCUUUGUUCUUUCCGUGUGUGCAGCCGCGCUCUUCAAACAGGUCGGUCGACAUUUAUCCCAAAACUUUUCAGACAGUUUUUGAUUCAACAAAAAGCCGCCGGUGGUUUUUAUUGGUGGUUUGAACACCGGAUCUCCGAGGUGCGAGUGGAUCUUUGAUGAAGCAUUGACCUAACGUCAACGGGACGGACCUGCGCUGCUGUAACGCCGGACUAAAACUGAUUCACGCCGCUGACUCUGCGCUCCGACUGACUCCUGGACUGGAUUUGACUUUUCUCUCUCUGGCUCUGCGUCUGGAGUCCAGUGGACAACAAUCUAAACUUUCAAUGCUCACAUGAUGGGAGAUGAACACAUGAUCUUUAAGUAUUCAAACUGGAAAGCUUCACGGAGGACUGACCCCCUGUAGUUACCUCUGUUAAAGCUUCGAUGUAUUAUUAAAGUAGUGAACAUUCGUCUCGUCCUGAGCCGGAGGAGGAAACUGAAUAAUGUGUGUGAGCCUCCUACACGUCUGUCACGUGCAGCGAUGACCACUGAGACUAAUGAACUGAAUGUUUUGUCGUACCUGCAGCUAUUUAUACAAGUCAGGCUUUUAGUUGCACAUGUUCACUUUGCAGAACGUUCUAAGUCUAAAAUGCAUUAAGACAUUAUGACGUGUUAUAAUCUGCCUACAGCUCUUUAACCCUAUAACACAUUAUUAUCACUGUUUUAAUGCAUCAUACUGUGAUUAUAAGUAACUCUCAGAGCUUUAACUUGUUGUAGCUCAGAUUUUAUAAUCAUUUCCACUAAAAACCAACAAUUAUUACGUAUAAUAAUAAUAAUAAUAAUAACAACUGUACAAUUAUAAUGCACAUCCUGGUCGAAAGAAAAGCUUCUAUAAUGUGUUCUGAUUAUAACGACAGAGCUGUUAGCAGAUUAUAACACAUAUAUAUGAGUAUGUUUAUACAUUUUAGACUUAAAAAGUUUCACUAAAAGCUUCUUUUAAAAGAAAAGUACAUUCCCAAAGCUCUGCCGCUUAAACUGAAUCACUUUACAGAAACAUGAACAUCUCUGCGGCGCUGAGCGUUUUAUAAAAGGUGUCGAGGCUUCGCUGCUCGCUGCUCGAUGUUCUGCAGUGCGACUCGAGUCGGCCGUAAGUGGACCUGAUUUAACAGAUUUAAACGUGCCGCUCAAUAAAAGCACAAAACUGGAUUAUGACCAUAUUUUAAAACUGUUAUAUGAAGAUGUUGAUAUUAAAAAUACGCUUUAAAGAAUCACAUCUGAUACUUAAAGACAUCCUAAUGAAAAGUCUGAGUGUCGUGUGAACACGUAACUCGCUCCAGCUGGAGUCACUUUAUCUAAUGUUCUUCCAUCUUUUCUCAUUUCCUGUUAAAACACCACGUCGUAAAAACAUCUCAAAUAUCCAGACUGAAGUUUUAAUUAAAGAUGAAACCUGUGAUAAAGAUGAAGAUGAUGAUGAUGAUGAAGAUGAUGAAGAUGGAGGUCCAGUGCUUCGCUCACUCUCUGCUCAGAUUAGUUUUACUAUUAAGUCUCUUCCAUGUAAUUCUGCUUAAUUUAGGAGGAAAUAAAAUGCAGACGAUACGACAUGGUGCUGGUUCACGUCUUCUUCUGUGUGUGUGUGUGUGUGUGUGUGUGUGUGUGUGUGUGUGUGUGUGUGUGU